ACCAGCACGCAGGGGAGUCCCACCGAGGGGACUGAGAGGCUGACAGGGCAAUGCCCGGUGACGCGACCCUUUGAACCUGACCCAGUUGAUACUGGCGUAGGAAGCUAGGGUGCGCAGGCC
This 120-nucleotide non-coding RNA is filed under the name Ruegeria sp. Its description in RNAcentral is "TPP sequence". It matches the Rfam family "TPP riboswitch aptamer (THI element)". Rfam says of the family: Vitamin B(1) in its active form thiamin pyrophosphate (TPP) is an essential coenzyme that is synthesised by coupling of pyrimidine and thiazole moieties in bacteria. The previously detected thiamin-regulatory element, thi box was extended, resulting in a new, highly conserved RNA secondary structure, the THI element, which is widely distributed in eubacteria and also occurs in some archaea. Lineage: Bacteria; Pseudomonadati; Pseudomonadota; Alphaproteobacteria; Rhodobacterales; Roseobacteraceae. The record is from RNAcentral.